UACGAAGGUCCCAAGCGUUAUCCGGAUUUAUUGGGUUUAAAGGGUGCGUAGGCGGGCUAUUAAGUCAGUGGUGAAAGCCCCAAGCUUAACUUGGGAACUGCCAUUGAUACUGAUGGUCUUGAGUACAUUUGAGGUGGGCGGAAUGUGUCAUGUAGCGGCGAAAUGCUUAGAUAUGACACAGAACACCGAUUGCGAAGGCAGCUCACUAAACUGUAACUGACGCUGAGGCACGAAAGCGUGGGGAGCAAACAGG
RNAcentral lists this ribosomal RNA (253 nucleotides) under uncultured bacterium. RNAcentral describes it as "partial 16S ribosomal RNA". It matches the Rfam family "Bacterial small subunit ribosomal RNA", at positions 524 to 776 of the family's 1533-position model. The record is from RNAcentral.